CAUCUUUCAACCAGCAGAUGGCACACCUGUCUCCAACAUUGUGAGUUGACUUCUCACAUGCACUCCGACUACAUAUUUACACACGAGAUCGCCUCAAACCUUAAACAAUGUCACUCACCAGCUCACUGCAUAAUUAAACUAACAGCUUAAUUCAACAAACCGUGAAA
This is a long non-coding RNA of Syngnathus acus (greater pipefish), 167 nucleotides long. RefSeq lists it as uncharacterized. Lineage: Eukaryota; Metazoa; Chordata; Actinopteri; Syngnathiformes; Syngnathidae. The record is from RefSeq and is a predicted model, not a curated record. The transcript is spliced from 2 exons.